GCGCCUAUGGUGUAAUGGCAACCCGUCUGCCUGCCAGGCAGAAGAUGCGAGUUCGAUUCUCGCUGGGCGCU
RNAcentral lists this transfer RNA (71 nucleotides) under Candidatus Entotheonella serta. RNAcentral describes it as "tRNA-Gly". It matches the Rfam family "tRNA". Rfam says of the family: Transfer RNA (tRNA) molecules are approximately 80 nucleotides in length. Their secondary structure includes four short double-helical elements and three loops (D, anti-codon, and T loops). Further hydrogen bonds mediate the characteristic L-shaped molecular structure. tRNAs have two regions of fundamental functional importance: the anti-codon, which is responsible for specific mRNA codon recognition, and the 3' end, to which the tRNAs corresponding amino acid is attached (by aminoacyl-tRNA synthetases). tRNAs cope with the degeneracy of the genetic code in two manners: having more than one tRNA (with a specific anti-codon) for a particular amino acid; and 'wobble' base-pairing, i.e. permitting non-standard base-pairing at the 3rd anti-codon position. Lineage: Bacteria; Pseudomonadati; Candidatus Tectimicrobiota; Candidatus Entotheonellia; Candidatus Entotheonellales; Candidatus Entotheonellaceae. The record is from RNAcentral.